This 925-nucleotide ribosomal RNA is filed under the name uncultured bacterium. RNAcentral's name for it is "bacterial SSU rRNA". It matches the Rfam family "Bacterial small subunit ribosomal RNA", at positions 459 to 1379 of the family's 1533-position model. The record is from RNAcentral.
CGAAGCGUGAGUGACGGUAAUGGGUAAAGAAGCNCCGGCUAACUACGUGCCAGCAGCCGCGGUGAUACGUAGGGUGCGAGCGUUGUCCGGAUUUAUUGGGCGUAAAGGGCUCGUAGGUGGUUGAUCGCGUCGGAAGUGUAAUCUUGGGGCUUAACCCUGAGCGUGCUUUCGAUACGGGUUGACUUGAGGAAGGUAGGGGAGAAUGGAAUUCCUGGUGGAGCGGUGGAAUGCGCAGAUAUCAGGAGGAACACCAGUGGCGAAGGCGGUUCUCUGGGCCUUUCCUGACGCUGAGGAGCGAAAGCGUGGGGAGCGAACAGGCUUAGAUACCCUGGUAGUCCACGCUGUAAACGGUGGGUACUAGGUGUGGGGUCCAUUCCACGGGUUCCGUGCCGUAGCUAACGCUUUAAGUACCCCGCCUGGGGAGUACGGCCGCAAGGCUAAAACUCAAAGGAAUUGACGGGGCCCCGCACAAGCGGCGGAGCAUGCGGAUUAAUUCGAUGCAACGCGUAGAACCUUACCUGGGUUUGACAUGGAUCGGGAGUGCUCAGAGAUGGGUGUGCCUCUUUUGGGGUCGGUUCACAGGUGGUGCAUGGCUGUCGUCAGCUCGUGUCGUGAGAUGUUGGGUUAAGUCCCGCAACGAGCGCAACCCUUGUUCACUGUUGCCAGCACGUUAUGGUGGGGACUCAGUGGAGACCGCCGGGGUCAACUCGGAGGAAGGUGGGGAUGACGUCAAGUCAUCAUGCCCCUUAUGUCCAGGGCUUCACGCAUGCUACAAUGGCUGGUACAGAGAGUGGCGAGCCUGUGAGGGUGAGCGAAUCUCGGAAAGCCGGUCUCAGUUCGGAUUGGGGUCUGCAACUCGACCUCAUGAAGUCGGAGUCGCUAGUAAUCGCAGAUCAGCAACGCUGCGGUGAAUACGUUCCCGGGA